GACAGAGGGUGCAAACGUUGUUCGGAAUUACUGGGCGUAAAGCGCACGUAGGCGGACUGUUAAGUCGGGGGUGAAAUCCUGGGGCUCAACCUCAGAAUUGCCUCCGAUACUGGCAGUCUCGAGUGCGGGAGAGGUGAGUGGAAUUCCCAGUGUAGAGGUGAAAUUCGUAGAUAUUGGGAAGAACACCAGUGGCGAAGGCGGCUCACUGGCCCGUAACUGACGCUGAGGUGCGAAAGCGUGGGGAGCAAACAGG
RNAcentral lists this ribosomal RNA (253 nucleotides) under uncultured bacterium. Its description in RNAcentral is "partial 16S ribosomal RNA". It matches the Rfam family "Bacterial small subunit ribosomal RNA", at positions 524 to 776 of the family's 1533-position model. The record is from RNAcentral.